RNA transcript from Triplophysa rosa, 4624 nucleotides. It is a transcript of the gene named GTPase IMAP family member 8-like, with no coding region annotated. The transcript has 10 exons. NCBI's taxonomy places the organism in Eukaryota, Metazoa, Chordata, Actinopteri, Cypriniformes, Nemacheilidae. The record is from RefSeq and is a predicted model, not a curated record.
AGAAAGAGGAAGUCUUAGGCAGACACACAUAAUAAUACAAAGGGGUGACUAAAUAAUUUGCUUUCUGAGAAGAAUUCAGUAAAUCGCAGUAGUAACAAAAAAAAAAUGAGUGACGACACAGUUCCUCUGAUUUCAGACGAUGAUUAUUAUUCAUCAGGAAGGACAGAGGGCAUUCAUUGGGGAUCAAGUAAUCAAUAUCCUCAGGACUUGGAGGCUCAAAGCAGCACACUUGCCAGGACUGAACAUACAACUACAGUGAAUUCAUCUGAAUUAAGGAUUGUUUUGGUGGGUAAAACCGGAUCAGGCAAGAGUUCAACAGGAAACACUAUACUGGGCAAAGACAAAGGCAAAUUUGAUGUCUUAAAACUUUCUACAAACGGAGUGACUAAAACCUGUCAGAAAGAAGAAGUGAUGGUGGAUGAGAAGAAGGUUUCAGUGAUUGACACUCCAGGAAAAUUUGAUCCAUCAAUUACUGAAGAGACGUUGAGGUCUGAGAUCAUAAAUUGUAUAAACUUGUCCGUUCCUGGUCCUCAUGUGUUUCUGGUGGUCAUCAGACUGGAUGUGAGAAUCACAGAUGAGGAGAAGAACACAGUGAGAUGGAUUCAGGAGAACUUUGGAGAAGAUGCUGCACGUUACACAAUCGUUCUGUUCACUCACGCUGAUGAACUAGAUGGAAAAUCACUAUCAGACCAUAUGAGAGUUAGCAAUGAUCUCCAGGCACUUGUUAAUAACUGUGGAGGCAGAUGUCACUCAUUCAACAACAGAGAUAAGACGAACCGCUCUCAGGUCACACAACUGCUGGAGAAGAUUAAAAAUAUGGUGGAAGAGAAUGGAGGUGAUCACUACACCAAUGACAUGUUCCUAGAGGCUCAAAGGAAGAUACAUAUAAACAUGUUUUGGUCACAGACACCUCGGAUUGUGCUGCUGGGUGAGGGCGGGUCAGGAAAAACUGCUUCAAGAAAAACCUUUCUGGGAAAAGAUAGUGAUUCACCACAUCCAGCUACUAAAACCUGUGAACAACAUGAAACAAAAGUGGAUGGAAAAAACGUUAAAAUAAUCGACACUCCAGAACUGUUUGAAACAUCAAAAAAUAUGUUGAAGAUGAAGGUAAAUGCUGAAAUAAAGAAAUUGUUCCGCAUAUCUGAUCCUGCUCCGUGUGUGUUCCUGCUGGUCAUCAAACUGGGUGGCAAAUCCACUAAGGUAAACAUGGUGAAAUGGAUUCAGGAGAACUUUGGAGAAGAUGCUGUAAAAUACACCAUCAUUCUGUUCACUCAUGAAGAUCAGUUGAAAGGUAAAGCCUUAAAUGAACAUAUUAGAACGAGAUCAGAACUACAAGAAUUGACUGAAAGCUGUGGUGGCAGAUAUCACUCAUUUAAUAAUAAAAAUAUGAAGAACCGCUCUCAGAUCACACAACUGCUGGAGAAGAUUAAAAAUAUGGUGGAAGAGAAUGGAGGUGAUCACUACACCAGUGACAUGUUCCUGGAGGCUCAAAGGAAGAUACAUAUAGAGAUGUUUUGGUCACUGAAACCCAGGAUUGUGCUGGUGGGUAAGAGUGGAGCAGGAAAAACUGCUACAAGAACAAACAUUCUGAGACAAAAUAGUGAUUCACCAAAUUCACCAACUAAAACUUGUGAAGACCAUGAAGCAAAUGUGGAAGGAAAAAACGUAAUAAUAAUUGACACUCCAGGGCGUUUUGAAACAGAGAAGUUGGAAUCUGAGAUUAAGAAGUGUGUAAAGCUGUCUCUUCCUGGUCCUCAUGUGUUUCUGCUGGUCAUCAGACUGGAUGAGAGCAUCACAGAAGAUGAGAAACACACAGUGAGAUGGGUUCAGGAGAACAUUGGUGAAGAUGCUGCAUCCUACACCAUCAUUCUGUUCACUCAUGUUGACCAGCUGAGGGAUAAAACAUUAGAUGAGUGUAUCACAGAGAGGUCAGAUCUACAGGCACUGGUGAACAGCUGUGGUGGCAGAUAUCACACAUUCAACAGUACAGACAGAGAAAACCAACAUCAGGUCGCAGAGCUGCUGCAGAAGAUUGAGACAUUGGCAGAGGGAAACAAAUGGAAGUACUUCACAAAUGAUAAGCUUAAAGAAUUUGUGAAAAGUAAGAUAAACUUUGAAAAGUUAAAAGCUACAUUGGGAGGUGUAGGAGGUGUAGCAGGUAUGAUAGCUGGAGGUGUGGUUCUGGGAGUAACAGAGUUUAUUGCAGCACCAGCAGUCGCAGUUGCAGUUGGUGUAGUUGUAAUUGGAGCAGCUGGAGUGUACACUUACAGAAAGAUUACACAGUGGCGUAAAAAAACGUCUUGGGAUUCUUUAGUUAAUUAUUGUAAUAUAGGGCUUCUGUGAUUGUCAGUGUGACACCAGAAUGUAAAAAGUCAUUUUAAUGGAUGGCUUGAAAGACCAUUCCUAUUUAAAUUCAUUCUACACAGUAUGUUUAAAAAAGUGAUAACUGAAUAUUUGUUCUCUUUCCACACCUAUGCCUCUAACAAUUUUGAGCUUUUUGUCUUAGUACUUCUAGUGUCUCUUAGAAAAAACAUUAUGUUGUUUUAAUCACUUUUGUAAGUAAUUUUGGAUAAAAGUAUGCUAAAUGGUCUUCUAUAUGAUCUUAUAUUAGAAAAUAUCUCAGAGUACUUGGAGUAAAUCUUAUUUUAUUUUAAAGUGUCAGAUUAUUCUUUUUCUUUACGGUAAAUCGAAAAUGUAUAAUAAGUAUACUGAAAUAUAUUUUCUUCUUUCACUGUUUAAAGUUGUGUCAUGUUUUAAUAUAAUUUACAGCAGUGGUCACCAACCCUGCUCCUGGAGAUCGACCGUCCUGAAGAUUUCAGCUCUAACCCCAAUCAAACACACCUGAACUAUCUAAUCAAGGUGUUCAGGUUUGCUUGAUAAUUACAGACAGGUGUGCUGAAGCAGGGUUGGAGCUGCAGUCUGCAGGACGGUCGAUCUCCAGGAACAGGGUUGGUGACUAUGGGAUCAGAAUCCCGCCACAACUAUUGUGGUCAUGGUUUGAAAAAUAAUAAGCGUAAAUAAAAAAAUAAAAGCACGUGUAAAAUAAUAGUGCAAAAAACUGAAAAACAAAUGCAAAAAAAAUUAGAAUAACAAACAACGCGGUCACGGAUCGAAAAGUAAUAGGCGUGAAUCAAAAAUGUAAACACGUUUAAAAUUAUAUUGCACAAAACUGAAACAUGAAUUCAACAUUUUCCAAAUCACAAACAAAAUCAGGUUUCCCGCUCAUAUAUAUUUUUUGUGUGCUUACGGUCUUUUCCCCUUUGCUCUCGUUUCCACGUUCUGCGCUCGCGUUUCCAAAUGUUGCGGUUAGAGUUUCAUGUAAAUUUGGUCGGGCUCAGGGCGGGCUUCAGCGUCACCAUUGGUCUACUAGUUCUAGAUUGACAGCUGCUCCUCUAGCCAAUCCGUCGAAGGGGGAGGUGACGUCACUCCAAUGCGACUCGUGUCGCGGCAGGCGUGUGAAGAUGGAUAACCAGCGUCAGCAGGCAAAUGCCGGACAAUCUCAGGUAAUUAGCUUUUAAUGAUUUAUUAGUGGGUGACAGAUACAUUCCCUUUGUGUGUUAUGUUAUUUUCUGCAAGCUCUAUGUAGUCCGAGUAGGCCGAUAUCUAGGCAGUUAACACGUGUAUUGUUCGUUUGGUUUAGUUAGGAAUCUUUUAUAUCUUAGGCAGUAUUUCAGUUUUUGGCUGUAAGUUAUAUCUAAAAUUGCAUGAUUUUGCUAGCUGUAACGGUGUAGCCUCGAGAUCAUAGCUUGACCAGCUAUUCCAUGAAGAUUAUUAUGGUUUUAUGCAUUGAUCCUAACUCACUAGCUCAAGGUGGCCCAGCCCCAUGUUUUAUGAGAGAGUGGUGCUACUUUUACCCCACCACUGGGGAAGUUGAUGUCACCAGAACUUGCAAGGAUGAUGUAGAUGAUGUUGACUACUCCCUAUUGAUCGCAAAGGUUGAAGAGGCAACUGAUCUGACUGAAUUCACAGAUGAAAUUAUCAGCUGUGGAUACACAGGAGCACUCAACAUAGAACAAAAAGAUGGCAUAAUUCGAGCAAUUGUUCUUCAUACAGCAUUUCAAGUUACACCAAUGCUUGGAGACUUGCGUAAAGGGCUCCAGCUGUAUGGAUUGCUGGACAUAGUUAAGGACCAUCCAAGUCUUUGCAAGAGUCUGUUUGUUCCUGGGGAGGAUUGUACACCAGAUGCAGACUAUAUUCUCAGCAAUGUUGCUCCUGAAAUGAGUGAGAGAGGAACUUCAAGGGCUUCGGUAGAGAGCAAAAUCAUAAACUACUUUCAGGACUUCCUUCAAGAAAUUGAAUGUGGAGAGUGUGCUGAAGAUGCAACAGAAGUGGAAACUGAGCCAUCAUCCUACCUCACUGUCCCUAGAGUCAUGCAGUGGAUUACAGGCCAGGGGCAUAAGCCACUACUGCUUUCAGAACAGAAGGCUUUUCAGAUAGUUUUUAAAUUUGAUCAUGACUGUAAAGUCAGAAUGCCACAUCACACCAUAUGCUACCCAAUAGUGAGCGCUUGCACUAAUACAGUAACUUUUCCAGUAGCACACAUGACAACAUAUGAAGACUUUAAAUGCAUCAUUGUACAAGCCAUACAAUCAGGGGGAACAUUUACAGUGCUCAGUGUAAAUGA